Pelmatolapia mariae (spotted tilapia) is the source of this 1035-nucleotide long non-coding RNA. RefSeq lists it as uncharacterized. Lineage: Eukaryota; Metazoa; Chordata; Actinopteri; Cichliformes; Cichlidae. The transcript has 5 exons. The record is from RefSeq and is a predicted model, not a curated record.
AAAAGAAGCUUCAGACUUCAGAGUGUUGUUUACAGUUUUCUGUCAUCAUGAUCUCCCCUGAAGUUUAUCACUAUUAGGCAAGCAAGCAGAGCGGCAGUUUGUGCUCACAGAUGGUGACGGUGUGGAGAGACGGUGGUGUUUCCUCAGAAGAACUAGCAGAGUCACAAAGAGCACCAGUCCAUCUCACCACCUUGACUUGCUGACUGAUGCUCGUCUGCACUGCACAGAGGAAAUCAACUGACCGAGGAGUGUUUCUGGGUGAGGGAGAGAGGAGUCAUCAUCCAGGUAAAGUGACGUGGAUCAGUGGACACACUUGUCUCCCCUUUAAAGGAGAUACUCUUAGAGAGAGACGAUCCAAGUCAUCCCUAAAUAUGGGCAGGAUAUCAGUCUUGGACUGUCUAACCUGCCGGAGCAGCACUGAAUGACCACCACACAUGAGCAUGUUCCUGCAACAUUCAGCAGCUUUGCUUUUGUGUCAAAUGUCAAACAGCUGGAGAGGAAACUACACCAGUGUACUGGGAUGUUUCACCAACACGUGCCAGAUGCUGUUCCUUCAUGGUGACAUCACCAGAGACAGCCCCGCCCACCUCAGGACCUCGCCAUUGAUCAUGAUGAUUAUAAUAAUGACAGCGAGCGGAACUAAGACUGUACAAAUCCACGACCAGAAUGUUUAGAUGCUUUCUAAUUAUUAAUGAAUACUGAGAGCCUCUUUCUGUGUUUUGUCUGUUUUGGGUUGUUUUUUUUUACCUCAUUUGUUACUAACAAAGUUCACCAAACUCACACAGUUUACAUUCUGUAUGUUUCCAUCUUUACCAGCCACACUCUACCUGCAUUUAGAAAACAAACCUUAGAAAUCGUCGUUUUUCUCUUUUAUAAUUUUGUAAUUCAGUGAAUAUACUGCGCUGCUUCCUUUUAUUGCAUCACACAUUGCUUUAAGUUUUUCAGUGUCCAGUUAUUUUUUACUGCUGUUUGAAUUCACUGUAUGUUUGACCCUGUAGACUGUUUAAUGGACUGCUUGUCUUCCUGUUUGUAACC